RNAcentral lists this ribosomal RNA (491 nucleotides) under uncultured bacterium. RNAcentral describes it as "partial 16S ribosomal RNA". It matches the Rfam family "Bacterial small subunit ribosomal RNA", at positions 29 to 506 of the family's 1533-position model. The record is from RNAcentral.
AGUGAACGCUGGCGGUAGGCCUAACACAUGCAAGUCGAACGGCAGCACAGUAAGAGCUUGCUCUUACGGGUGGCGAGUGGCGGACGGGUGAGGAAUACAUCGGAAUCUACUUUUUCGUGGGGGAUAACGUAGGGAAACUUACGCUAAUACCGCAUACGACCUACGGGUGAAAGCAGGGGAUCUUCGGACCUUGCGCGAUUGAAUGAGCCGAUGUCGGAUUAGCUAGUUGGCGGGGUAAAGGCCCACCAAGGCGACGAUCCGUAGCUGGUCUGAGAGGAUGAUCAGCCACACUGGAACUGAGACGCGGUCCAGACUCCUACGGGAGGCAGCAGUGGGGAAUAUUGGACAAUGGGCGCAAGCCUGAUCCAGCCAUACCGCGUGGGUGAAGAAGGCCUUCGGGUUGUAAAGCCCUUUUGUUGGGAAAGAAAAGCAGCAGGUUAAUACCCCGCUGUUCUGACGGUACCCAAAGAAUAAGCACCGGCUAACUUCGU